This is a long non-coding RNA of Notothenia coriiceps (black rockcod), 315 nucleotides long. RefSeq lists it as uncharacterized. The transcript is spliced from 4 exons. Lineage: Eukaryota; Metazoa; Chordata; Actinopteri; Perciformes; Nototheniidae. The record is from RefSeq and is a predicted model, not a curated record.
GUGCUCCAGGCCUCUAGGGGGCGCGCUACGUGGAACAGAUUGAUGUCUGACCAGACAUAGAGAGAACGAACAAGAGUGCUGCAAAUUGAAGCCGGAGGAAACAAAGUUGAUCGAAGUGGAAAAAGUCGAAAUAUAAGAAGUCAGUCAUUUGUGUGUAUGCAGGUGUGGGACAUUCCACAUUUUCCAUAAGUGAGCACUCCACGAAUGGACAACAGUUUGCCAGGACCUCUCAGGCACCCACAACCAGCGUCUGAUCGGGAUGGAGCACCAACCCCAUUCCAGGAAGAGGUCCAGUCUGCCCCGGGUCAGAACNCU